Molecule: ribosomal RNA, 253 nt
Filed under: uncultured bacterium
Lineage: Bacteria
Description: partial 16S ribosomal RNA
Rfam family: Bacterial small subunit ribosomal RNA
Source: RNAcentral
UACGUAGGGGGCAAGCGUUGUCCGGAUUUAUUGGGCGUAAAGAGCGUGUAGGCGGCCAAACAGGUCAGCUGUGAAAACUCGAGGCUCAACCUCGAGACGUCGGUUGAAACCGUAUGGCUAGAGUCCGGAAGAGGAGAGUGGAAUUCCCGGUGUAGCGGUGAAAUGCGCAGAUAUCGGGAAGAACACCCGUGGCGAAGGUGGCUCUCUGGGACGGUACUGACGCUGAGACGCGAAAGCGUGGGGAGCAAACAGG